RNAcentral lists this unclassified non-coding RNA (520 nucleotides) under uncultured Glomus. RNAcentral's name for it is "SSU rRNA". It matches the Rfam family "Eukaryotic small subunit ribosomal RNA", at positions 569 to 1091 of the family's 1831-position model. The record is from RNAcentral. Lineage: Eukaryota; Fungi; Glomeromycota; Glomeromycetes; Glomerales; Glomeraceae.
AGCAGCCGCGGUAAUUCCAGCUCCAAUAGCGUAUAUUAAAGUUGUUGCAGUUAAAAAGACUCGUAGUUGAAUUUCGGGGUUAGUAGGUUGGUCAUGCCUCUGGUAUGUACUGGUCUCACUGAUUCCUCCUUCCUGAUGAGCCGUAAUGCCAUUAAUUUGGUGUUGCGGGGAAUUUGGACUGUUACUUUGAAAAAAUUAGAGUGUUUAAAGCAAGCUAACGCUUGAAUACAUUAGCAUGGAAUAAUGAAAUAGGACGUUCGAUCCUAUUUUGUUGGUUUCUAGGAUUGACGUAAUGAUUAAUAGGGAUAGUUGGGGGCAUUAGUAUUCAAUUGUCAGAGGUGAAAUUCUUGGAUUUAUUGAAGACUAACUACUGCGAAAGCAUUUGCCAAGGAUGUUUUCAUUAAUCAAGAACGAAAGUUAGGGAUCGAAGACGAUCAGAUACCGUCGUAGUCUUAACCAUAAACUAUGCCGACUAGGGAUCGGAUGAUGUUAAUUUUUAAUGACUCAUUCGGCGCCUUAA